Molecule: ribosomal RNA, 468 nt
Filed under: uncultured bacterium
Lineage: Bacteria
Description: partial 16S ribosomal RNA
Rfam family: Bacterial small subunit ribosomal RNA
Source: RNAcentral
GACGAACGCUGGCGGCGUGCUUAACACAUGCAAGUCGAACGGAAAGGCCCUGCUUUUGUGGGGUGCUCGAGUGGCGAACGGGUGAGUAACACGUGAGUAACCUGCCCUUGACUUUGGGAUAACUUCAGGAAACUGGGGCUAAUACCGGAUAGGAGCUCCUGCUGCAUGGUGGGGGUUGGAAAGUUUCGGCGGUUGGGGAUGGACUCGCGGCUUAUCAGCUUGUUGGUUGGGUAGUGGCUUACCAAGGCUUUGACGGGUAGCCGGCCUGAGAGGGUGACCGGCCACAUUGGGACUGAGAUACGGCCCAGACUCCAACGGGAGGCAGCAGUGGGGAAUAUUGCACAAUGGGCGGAAGCCUGAUGCAGCAACGCCGCGUGCGGGAUGACGGCCUUCGGGUUGUAAACCGCUUUCGCCUGUGACGAAGCGUGAGUGACGGUAAUGGGUAAAGAAGCACCGGCUAACUACGUG